Molecule: ribosomal RNA, 134 nt
Filed under: uncultured crenarchaeote
Lineage: Archaea; Thermoproteati; Thermoproteota
Description: partial 16S ribosomal RNA
Rfam family: Archaeal small subunit ribosomal RNA
Source: RNAcentral
CCUAUGGGGUGCANCAGGCGAGAAAACUUUGCAAUGUGCGAAAGCACGACAAGGUUAAUCCGAGUGGUUUCUGCUAAAGGAACCUUUUGUUAGUGCUUAGAACCACNAGACGAAGAAGGGNGGGCAAUAAGUGG